This 64-nucleotide transfer RNA is filed under the name Candidatus Defluviibacterium haderslevense. Its description in RNAcentral is "tRNA-Phe". Lineage: Bacteria; Pseudomonadati; Bacteroidota; Saprospiria; Saprospirales; Saprospiraceae. The record is from RNAcentral.
AUAUCUCUGUUGGUAGAGCAAUAAAUUAAAAAAAUUUUCGAGGGUUCAAUUCCCUCUGUCACCA